This 274-nucleotide ribosomal RNA is filed under the name uncultured bacterium. RNAcentral describes it as "partial 16S ribosomal RNA". It matches the Rfam family "Bacterial small subunit ribosomal RNA", at positions 523 to 796 of the family's 1533-position model. The record is from RNAcentral.
CUACGGAGGGUGCAAGCGUUGUUCGGAAUUAUUGGGCGUAAAGAGCAUGUAGGCGGUCUGUUAAGUCUGGUGUGAAAGCCCUGGGCUCAACCCAGGAAGUGCAUUGGAUACUGGCAGACUUGAGUAUGCGAGAGGAAAGCGGAAUUCCGAGUGUAGGAGUGAAAUCCGUAGAUAUUCGGAGGAACACCAGUGGCGAAGGCGGCUUUCUGGACCAAUACUGACGCUGAGAUGCGAAAGCGUGGGGAGCAAACAGGAUUAGAAACCCUAGUAGUCC